RNAcentral lists this ribosomal RNA (253 nucleotides) under uncultured bacterium. Its description in RNAcentral is "partial 16S ribosomal RNA". It matches the Rfam family "Bacterial small subunit ribosomal RNA", at positions 524 to 776 of the family's 1533-position model. The record is from RNAcentral.
UACGUAGGGGGCUAGCGUUGUCCGGAAUCAUUGGGCGUAAGGAGCGUGUAGGCGGCCCGGUAAGUCCGCUGUGAAAGUCGGGGGCUCAACCCUCGAAUGCCGGUGGAUACUGUCGGGCUAGAGUGCGGAAGAGGCGAGUGGAAUUCCUGGUGUAGCGGUGAAAUGCGCAGAUAUCAGGAGGAACACCAGCGGCGAAGGCGGCGCUCUGGGCCGGAACUGACGCUGAGGAGCGAAAGCGUGGGUAGCAAACAGG